This is a long non-coding RNA of Mus caroli (Ryukyu mouse), 236 nucleotides long. RefSeq lists it as uncharacterized. Lineage: Eukaryota; Metazoa; Chordata; Mammalia; Rodentia; Muridae. The record is from RefSeq and is a predicted model, not a curated record.
GAAUGAGUCCCCAGUGGGGACUAUGACAAGGGCUGGACAAGCAUCAGACUCUUCAUUCUGAGCAGUCUCCUCCAUGGCUCUGAGGUUGUUUGGAAGAAUGAAGAAAAAAAUUAAUGGUGUCCUUCUGGAAUGUCCAGUUCCUGAAUUCCCAGCUUCUGUUGGUCAGAAAAAUGCUUACCAUGUCCUUGGCGCCCACUGGACAAGGAUCUGUCUUGAUUAUCUUUGGAGCCCCAACA